Molecule: transfer RNA, 95 nt
Filed under: Corynebacterium endometrii
Lineage: Bacteria; Bacillati; Actinomycetota; Actinomycetes; Mycobacteriales; Corynebacteriaceae
Description: tRNA-Sec
Rfam family: Selenocysteine transfer RNA
Source: RNAcentral
GGAGGCGUACGUGUCCUGGUGGGCGCCCCGGUCUUCAAAACCGGUGAGACCAAGUAUCUUGGCCUGGCAAGUUCGAUUCUUGUCCGCCUCCGCCA